This 417-nucleotide ribosomal RNA is filed under the name Theileria orientalis. RNAcentral's name for it is "SSU rRNA". It matches the Rfam family "Eukaryotic small subunit ribosomal RNA", at positions 469 to 923 of the family's 1831-position model. Lineage: Eukaryota; Apicomplexa; Aconoidasida; Piroplasmida; Theileriidae. The record is from RNAcentral.
GACAAGAAAUAACAAUACGGGGCUUAAUGUCUUGUAAUUGGAAUGAUGGGAAUUUAAACCUCUUCCAGAGUAUCAAUUGGAGGGCAAGUCUGGUGCCAGCAGCCGCGGUAAUUCCAGCUCCAAUAGCGUAUAUUAAAAUUGUUGCAGUUAAAAAGCUCGUAGUUGAAUUUCUGCUGCAUUACAUAUCUCUUGUUUGAGUUUGUUUUUGUGGCUUAUUUCGGUUUGAUUUUUUUAUCUUUCCGGAUGAUUACUUUGAGAAAAUUAGAGUGCUCAAAGCAGGCUUUUGCCUUGAAUAGUUUAGCAUGGAAUAAUAAAGUAGGACUUUGGUUCUAUUUUGUUGGUUUUAGGUACCAAAGUAAUGGUUAAUAGGAACAGUUGGGGGCAUUCGUAUUUAACUGUCAGAGGUGAAAUUCUUAG